CAUCUGGUUUUUUUUCACCUUAUGGCUCCCCAUUUUCCAAUACGCAAAUUUUUUACCUGAUGCUAGUCUUUAAAUGCCACCGCUAAGCCUCUGGUUGCUAAAUAUUUCUUGCCUCUGUGCAGUUUAGACUUUUGCUACGGCUGGGUUUUAUGCAAGAUGCUAAAUCCCACUGCAUUGUUUGGCUUACCACAUUAUGUAAAUCAUGGGUGAUGGCUUAGCAUAACCUUCCUCGAAAAUAUAGUUCAUUUUUCAUGGACUGAAGUGUGAAGUCAUUUUUUAUGAUCCAGAGCGAUGUGUCAAACUGGACAACAAGCAUUUGAGUGUACAUGUUAAGGAGUUCUGGGUAGCACCUGCCUGGACGUCAUCAUGUCCCGGUUUUGAUGCUCUGCGCAUAUGCGGAAUGUCCUUUGCGUGUGCUCUCACAUUUGCGAACUGGUAGUAAAGCUCUGCUUGCUCUUCUACGACAACUGUGGGCACUCAAGAAAUUACAAAACCCCGAUGGAAGAAUAAUGAAAUUCCUACAGAAGAGGAAGGAAUUGCGAAAACGUCAAAACUGAUGGAAAUGGCAAUUUGGUCAGAGAACAAACUACAAAAACAUUUUUGAAAGACUGGAAGCCUUACAUGGACUUUGUCCUGACGGAUGAAAAUGAAUCGUUGAUUUGUGGGUUUUGAAGGCUAAGAAAGAUGAGGACCAAAUGAAGGGGUGAAAGGACUUGUAAAAUACUUAAGAGGAAGGAGGAACAAGGAGAAUGCAAUUAUCUGUUGAAAGAAAGUUGGAAGUCAUUUUAAUGCUUCUUAAAUCGGUUUUUCAUUUCUCUUCUGAUUUUUUUUCUCCAUUUACCCUUUUGGCUUGUUACUAUCAUAUGGAAAUUUUCAGUAAAUAAAAUUCAACAAAUAAAGGAAUUUCAAAGCUA
Molecule: long non-coding RNA, 914 nt
Organism: Thamnophis elegans (Western terrestrial garter snake)
Lineage: Eukaryota; Metazoa; Chordata; Lepidosauria; Squamata; Natricidae
Exons: 3
Source: RefSeq, a predicted model, not a curated record